This 253-nucleotide ribosomal RNA is filed under the name uncultured bacterium. RNAcentral's name for it is "partial 16S ribosomal RNA". It matches the Rfam family "Bacterial small subunit ribosomal RNA", at positions 524 to 776 of the family's 1533-position model. The record is from RNAcentral.
UACGGAGGGGGCUAGCGUUGUUCGGAAUUACUGGGCGUAAAGCGCACGUAGGCGGCUUUGCAAGUUAGAGGUGAAAGCCCGGAGCUCAACCCCGGAAUUGCCUUUAAAACUGCAUCGCUAGAAUUGUGGAGAGGUAAGUGGAAUUCCGAGUGUAGAGGUGAAAUUCGUAGAUAUUCGGAAGAACACCAGUGGCGAAGGCGACUUACUGGACACAUAUUGACGCUGAGGUGCGAAAGCGUGGGGAGCAAACAGG